This 440-nucleotide ribosomal RNA is filed under the name uncultured bacterium. RNAcentral's name for it is "partial 16S ribosomal RNA". It matches the Rfam family "Bacterial small subunit ribosomal RNA", at positions 338 to 795 of the family's 1533-position model. The record is from RNAcentral.
CCUACGGGGGGCAGCAGUGGGGAAUAUUGCACAAUGGGGGAAACCCUGAUGCAGCGACGCCGCGUGAGUGAAGAAGUAAUUCGUUAUGUAAAGCCCUAUCAGCAGGGAAGAAAAUGACGGUACCUGUGUAAGAAGCCCCGGCUAACUACGUGCCAGCAGCCGCGGUAAUACGUAGGGGGCAAGCGUUAUCCGGAUUUACUGGGUGUAAAGGGAGCGUAGACGGCAGUGCAAGUCUGGAGUGAAAGGCGGGGGCUCAACCCCCGGACUGCUCUGGAAACUGUACGGCUGGAGUGCAGGAGAGGUAAGUGGAAUGCCUAGUGUAGCGGUGAAAUGCGUAGAUAUUAGGAGGAACACCAGUGGCGAAGGCGGCUUACUGGACUGUAACUGACGUUGAGGCUCGAAAGCGUGGGGAGCAAACAGGAUUAGAUACCCUGGUAGUC